CCCAGACCACUUAAUUGAAAUUAAAGCGGCACUAUCACGCCGAACUUACCUUUCCCCAAUCGAUUCCUCUUCUCUCCCUCUCUCAGGAUCUGUUAUUCAUUUCUUCCUAUCUGCUCUAGUUUUCUUUAAAACUUAAAACAAAGUAGGGACUAUUUCUCUUCUGGAGGUUUCCACGCCAUGACCAGCGGAGGAGCAAAGUGUGCUUCAUUUCCCGUGGUCAGAGAAAUUUUCCCAUAAUUCUUAGCUUUCCUCCCUCUUCCCAAAAUGCUUCCUGUCAGUAUUGCCGAGCGACCUGUCACUUGGACAGAACGCCGGCACAACUGCCGAAUUGCGUCCUAACAGAAUGAGAACAGUUACUCCAUUCGUGUUAGAACGCAAUUCGGGACUUUGUGUCGGAAUUUAAAUCGAAUGGAUGAAACUCCGAUCCUAUUUGCGCUGUGGCUGCAUCUUGUAGCCACUUAGUAA
Pelobates cultripes (western spadefoot toad) is the source of this 465-nucleotide non-coding RNA. NCBI's taxonomy places the organism in Eukaryota, Metazoa, Chordata, Amphibia, Anura, Pelobatidae. The record is from the annotation of a GenBank genome assembly.